UGGGGAAUAUUGGGCAAUGGGCGCAAGCCUGACCCAGCAACGCCGCGUGAAGGAAGAAGGUCUUCGGAUUGUAAACUUUUGUCUUAUGGGACGAUAAUGACGGUACCAUAGGAGGAAGCCACGACUAACUACGUGCCAGCAGUCGCGGUAAUACGUAGGUGGCGAGCGUUAUCCGGAAUUAUUGGGUGUAAAGGGUGCGUAGGCGGGGAGUAAAGUCAGAUGUGAAAGGCGUGUGCUCAACAUACGGAUUGCAUUUGAAACUUACUUUCUUGAGUGAAGUAGAGGCAAGCGGAAUUCCCAGUGUAGCGGUGAAAUGCGUAGAUAUUGGGAGGAACACCAGUGGCGAAGGCGGCUUGCUGGGCUUUUACUGACGCUGAGGCACGAAAGUGUGGGGAGCAAACA
RNAcentral lists this ribosomal RNA (402 nucleotides) under uncultured bacterium. RNAcentral describes it as "bacterial SSU rRNA". It matches the Rfam family "Bacterial small subunit ribosomal RNA", at positions 355 to 774 of the family's 1533-position model. The record is from RNAcentral.